AUAGACAAAGGUAUGGAAAGAUUUUGGCCUCUUCCAUUCUGAGAUGUACCAGAAAUGGGCCAGCCAGGGAAUAUACUGAAUGUUGUUGAAAGGAAUGCCUUAAAAAGCUGCUUGAGGUGAGAGAAAGAGAGAGGUAUGACAAAGUCAUGGCUGGUAAGUACGCAAUUGUGUUCCAACAAGGUGAAACUGGGGUGACUACUAGACUCCUGUUUUGCAGAGUGGGGUUUACAUAUUUGGAUCCAGAGCCAGAAUGUCCAGGAGAAGUUGAAGCCUAUCACCCAGCAUUCAUUCAUAAAUUUAAUACAGGUAUAUUGAGAGAUCCCUCUAUACUGUGCUCUGCUUGUGGUGCUAGGGAUAAACCAGUGAGCAAAAGGACAAAUAAAAAGACCUCAGCCUUUCUGCUAAUAAAUAGUAAGAAGUACUUAAAGGCAUCUUACGCCAGCAUAUAGCCAACUAAGCUAACACAGAACCCCUUCAUCUUAUAGACUAAAAAUGACCGACAUAAUAUAACAAAUAAUAUUUUUAACAUAGUUGAGGUUAAAAGAAAGGAUACCCCAGAUAUCAGAAAUAAUAAUAAAAAAAAAAGAAACAUAAAAAUUGAAGUAGUAAGAGUGGCCCAGGGAAGGGACUAAACUAAAAACUAGAGACCUUAGUCUACUAAAUGCUAGGAUAUUAGCUGUAAUGGGUGUCAGGAGAUAUGACCUUGGGUUCAUAUGAGAGAGGAAGCUAUAACUGAAAUCCUUAAUUAAAGCUGGUAUCCAGAAAGUUAAAUGCCCAAAGUGAAAGGGACUAAAAGUAUCUAUCAGCUCCAGGGAAGUAACAAAGACACAAGGGAGGGUGGGUGCCUCUUCCCAGAGAAUUUGGGUGAAAAAUAAGAAACACACGUCUGUGCCAUGUCCACUUUAGGAGUUCACAUUUACAUCAUAAGGUGUUAGAAACGAACAUAAAAACUGGUCCCAGAUUGGUACAUGACAGAAGCAAAUCUAAACCAUUCUCUAGGGCACAGAAACUUUAUAGAAGAAAAAAAAAUUCCAACUGAAGACAUGCUCACAAAGCAUAUGUAUAAAUAAUCUGCCUUGAGAGAGAGUGAGCAGACACAAAAAUCAUGAAGGAUAAGCAUCCCUAAAUAAUUGAGAUAGUAAAAUAAUCUGGAGUAGGCUAUUUUAAAAGAACAUCUAAAAAGAUUAAAAAGAAAAAUGAACUGAAACUACAAGAAAAUAACUGGAUAUUCUGGGAAAAAUUAAGAAUAUCUGUUGAUGUGCUAAAUUACUAACCCACUGUGAAUGCCAUGGUAUUCACCAAAAUUUUAAGCUACUUUGAGUGGCCUGAUUCUUAACUCUGCUUCCAUCUUAUGAUUCUGUAAUUCUUUAUCACAUUCAGAGAACAAGCAUUCACCAAUACAAGGAGCAAAAUUAGGAGAAUUAUUUUAUUAGUGUUUCAAGAACUUCUCAACUGAAUCUAUCCAUCUUUCCUUUGAAUAAUGGGGGAUACUAAGGAACAAAAACAUCAACUGAGUUUACCUAUUGUAUUAGUUGGGAUAAAGGUUAAGUUUGUAUAACAAAGAGCUCCCUAAAUACAGGAGUUUAAAGAAGGUAGACAUUUAUUACUCUCCCGUAUAACUGGCGGGGCAGCUCUGUAGUCACCAGGUCAUUUAAGGACUCAAGUUCCUUCUAUGUUAUUUCUCCAUCAUAGAGAAAGAGAUUUUGUCACCCCAAAACAUGCCUCUCUGGUAUAUUGAUUAUUUUUAAGUUGGUUAUUUUUAAAAAACAGCAGAUAUGACAGAAGCUCUGAAAAUUGAGUAGAAGUUAAUCGUUCGUGAAAAACAUUUACAUUUAUAAGGGAAAUCUCCAUUUUUAAGGGUGUCUCCCUUUCCGUACCAGGAAGAGAAGGAUGACUCUAACUCAUAAGAAACUCUUAUUAAUGGAGAAGGCAACAAUUAUUAUUAUUAUCAUUAUUUUGUCUUUUUAUGGCUGCACUCAUGGCAUAUGGAGGUUUCCAGGUUAGGGAUUGAAUCGGAGCUAUAACCUCUGGCCUACACCACAACGGGAACUCCAAGAAGGCACUGAUUUAAAUCUUCUUAACAACCUUACCCUUGUUUACUGUGCUUUUCCUGGUGACCUCCCAUCACUGAUUCCCCACUCCCAAAAUCUUCUUUUAUCUUUAGCUGAAGAUAGUAUCUAAGGUGAUGACUUCAGCCGCUUCAGAGUUACCCAGUAUUCCUGGGCAUCUUCCAUGUAUGUAACUGAGCCGGACUCUAUGGGACCUUCCCAGGACAGACCCUUCCCCAUAUCCUCUGCUUUAGCCCCUCUGAAGUACCUAGGUAAUAGUAUCCGAUGCACAUUUCUCAAGUUGUUUCACAGGUGUGAAAACCCCCCAGUGGAACAUGUUCACUACUUGAUGACCGUGAGUACAUAGCACCCAGGCCUCCUGGAACCUAAGGACUGAUAAUGUAACCCCUGUGACACAGAUCAUUACCUCACCAUCAGCCAAUCAGAGAAUUGUGCAUGAGCUUAUCACACACCAUGUGAACCCCUUUCCCUCACCUGGCCUUUAAAACAGUUUUGCUGAAACCCUUUGAGGAGUUUGGGGGUUUAGAGCACUAGCCACCCAUUCUCCUUGUUUUGGUACUUUUACAAUAAAUGCUGUGCUUUCCUUCACCAC
RNAcentral lists this long non-coding RNA (2661 nucleotides) under Sus scrofa (pig). RNAcentral's name for it is "lncRNA (ENSSSCG00050026238.1, ENSSSCG00060073589.1)". The record is from RNAcentral. Lineage: Eukaryota; Metazoa; Chordata; Mammalia; Artiodactyla; Suidae.